AACGAACGCUGGCGGCAGGCCUAACACAUGCAAGUCGAACGCUGUAGCAAUACAGAGUGGCAGACGGGUGAGUAACACGUGGGAACGUACCUUUCGGUUCGGAAUAACUCAGGGAAACUUGAGCUAAUACCGGAUACGUGCGAGAGCAGAAAGAUUUAUCGCCGAAAGAUCGGCCCGCGUCCGAUUAGCUUGUUGGUGAGGUAAUGGCUCACCAAGGCGACGAUCGGUAGCUGGUCUGAGAGGAUGAUCAGCCACACUGGGACUGAGACACGGCCCAGACUCUUACGGGAGGCAGCAGUGGGGAAUCUUGGACAAUGGGCGAAAGCCUGAUCCAGCCAUGCCGCGUGAAUGAUGAAGGCCCUAGGGUUGUAAAAUUCUUUCGACGGGGAAGAUAAUGACGGUACCCGUAGAAGAAGCUCCGGCUAACUUCGUGCCAGCAG
RNAcentral lists this ribosomal RNA (440 nucleotides) under uncultured bacterium. RNAcentral describes it as "bacterial SSU rRNA". It matches the Rfam family "Bacterial small subunit ribosomal RNA", at positions 29 to 514 of the family's 1533-position model. The record is from RNAcentral.